RNAcentral lists this transfer RNA (73 nucleotides) under Richelia sp. SL_2_1. Its description in RNAcentral is "tRNA-Glu". It matches the Rfam family "tRNA". From Rfam's summary of the family: Transfer RNA (tRNA) molecules are approximately 80 nucleotides in length. Their secondary structure includes four short double-helical elements and three loops (D, anti-codon, and T loops). Lineage: Bacteria; Bacillati; Cyanobacteriota; Cyanophyceae; Nostocales; Nostocaceae. The record is from RNAcentral.
GCCUCUAUCGUCUAAUGGUUCAGGACGUUAGAAUCUCAAUCUAAAAAUUACAGUUCGAGUCUGUAUAGAGGCA